Mustela erminea (ermine) is the source of this 596-nucleotide long non-coding RNA. RefSeq lists it as uncharacterized. NCBI's taxonomy places the organism in Eukaryota, Metazoa, Chordata, Mammalia, Carnivora, Mustelidae. The transcript is spliced from 3 exons. The record is from RefSeq and is a predicted model, not a curated record.
GCCUCAGCCAUCAGCAGGAGCAGCCCAGCAUUCACCCUCCACAGCCUGCCAACCCAAUGACAGCUUCUGCAGGGUCACCAAACACGUGCUGGGCACGGCCAGCUGGGCACAGGGCAGCUUUCUCCCAGAGAGGACGCUCCUGAAUGUCAGAAAGAACAUGUGACCUCAUGAUAAAUUCUUCAUCAACAAUUCUUCUUCUAAGUCACCCAAGAACCCCUGCUUGGCAAAGGCCCCAGGUCACCAUGGAUGUACUGGAAUGUUCCAUAGCCGCAUGGCCCAGAAAUGCGCUGCUGCUGGACUUUUCCAGGCCCUCGGGGGAAACCCACCCCAGAGCUUUCCAGGAGUCAGAGGUCGUCCUUCCGUGCUCUGAGGGAUUCCAUGCUCCGGGAACAUCCAUCUGGGUGUCUGUUGCAAGGAGCUAUUGUGUCAUCAAAUCACCCAAAAAAGCCAGGGAGCCCAGCCCCUGCUGAAGUGAGGACUGGGGGUGUCUCAGCAACAAAGCACACCCCAAAGAAUAAAAGAGGCAAGAGCUGGAGAAUGGGGGCAUACACAUUCACCCACCGAGAAAAAAAUAAACGGUGCAUUGGGCAACUGGG